This 233-nucleotide long non-coding RNA is filed under the name Melopsittacus undulatus (budgerigar). Its description in RNAcentral is "lncRNA (ENSMUNG00000000370.2)". The record is from RNAcentral. Lineage: Eukaryota; Metazoa; Chordata; Aves; Psittaciformes; Psittaculidae.
GGGGAUGCCAUUUAAGUUACAGCCUUUCUCUUAACUACAGCAAUGACAGAAGUAGCUUAUCUCUAGAAUCGUCUGAGGAUGCUGUUUUCAUUUCUAUUCUAGUUGUCAGGUCCAUCUGUGUCAAGGACAUCCUGAGGAUGUUCUGUAACCUCUGUGGUCAUGUAUUCUUUGAGAAGUACCAACAACUACAUAAUCAUCAAGUACCUUCUGGUCUUGUGACUGUGAGCAGGUAG